AUGGUUAGGAAGGUUGAGGCAGUUGUGUAUUUAUGUUAUGGAUUGUUAGUUUAUUGGUCUGUGAACUAUUUUGGGCUUCUUCUUAAAUGUUGGUCAGGUCUUGUGCUAAUGCGCGUAUGCUUUGAUGCCUUUGUCUGCUUCAGAAUCGGGCUUUGGAUUUUUUGCAACAGGUCGAUGUUUCUCUGUCCACAUCACAUUAGGAUGAAUAGUAGCUACUUUAAGCUUCACUUGGUUGGAAACACUGCAACAGCCUUAUUCAGAGAUUCCUUGCUUUCAUCUUGCUUAGGAGCUUUUGCAGGUUAUAACAUAGUCUCUGGUGCCAUUUCUAGCAGGAAGUAA
RNAcentral lists this long non-coding RNA (339 nucleotides) under Vicia faba (fava bean). The record is from RNAcentral. Lineage: Eukaryota; Viridiplantae; Streptophyta; Magnoliopsida; Fabales; Fabaceae.